AGUGAACGCUGGCGGUAGGCCUAACACAUGCAAGUCGAACGGCAGCACAGGAGAGCUCGCUCUCUGGGUGGCGAGUGGCGGACGGGUGAGGAAUACAUCGGAAUCUACUCUGUCGUGGGGGAUAACGUAGGGAAACUUACGCUAAUACCGCAUACGACCUACGGGUGAAAGCAGGGGACCUUCGGGCCUUGCGCGAUUGAAUGAGCCGAUGUCGGAUUAGCUAGUUGGCGGGGUAAAGGCCCACCAAGGCGACGAUCCGUAGCUGGUCUGAGAGGAUGAUCAGCCACACUGGAACUGAGACACGGUCCAGACUCCUACGGUGGGCAGCAGUGGGGAAUAUUGGACAAUGGGCGCAAGCCUGAUCCAGCCAUACCGCGUGGGUGAAGAAGGCCUUCGGGUUGUAAAGCCCUUUUGUUGGGAAAGAAAUCCAGCUGGCUAAUACCCGGUUGGGAUGACGGUACCCAAAGAAUAAGCACCGGCUAACUUCGUGCCAGCAGCCGCAGUAA
RNAcentral lists this ribosomal RNA (506 nucleotides) under uncultured bacterium. Its description in RNAcentral is "partial 16S ribosomal RNA". It matches the Rfam family "Bacterial small subunit ribosomal RNA", at positions 29 to 523 of the family's 1533-position model. The record is from RNAcentral.